UACAAUCAGAAGCCCAAAAAUUGAGCCCAUUUAACAAUUAUUUUCUAUAUAGAUUUUGGUUAGGUUAAAAAAUAGGGGUGGUGAAUUUAUUUUUUAGAAUAGGGUUGUAAAAUUUACAGAUUUGAAUUCAAAAUGGGCUCUACUAUUCAUUAACUUUUCGGUCAUCACCAUCCCGGAUUCCGGCUAAGCUCCGGCAACUCUAAAACCCUCUUCUUUUUCCCCUUUUUCCGGUGAAAUGGUCACCGGAAACAACCCCAUUUCCCCUUUCCUCGUUUCCAGCAACUACCACCCAAAAACCCCACUCCAAAACAACCAUUUUUCCUUACCAGACCCACACAGCAGCAAACAACACACCAACAGACCCAAAACCAGCCAAACGAUCCCCACACUACCUAUUUUAUUCCUUUUCCAGAUCCACUGGCGAGCUCGAAGCUCGCCACCUCCAAACCACCCCGUUUCCCUCUCCCACCAGACCAAAACCCCCUUUAAGUCAAUCGCCACAGCCUCAUAAACCAGCAACCAAAGCUCCGAGCGGCCAUCCAAAACCCCGACCCAGACCAUCCCUUUUCAAUAAACUACAACAACCCAGUCGCUGCCAGUUCCCUUCCACGUCCCCUUUUACAUUUUCUUCUUUUUACAGGUAUUUUGGCUCAAAGUCGGUGAGCUCCGAUGAAAAAAUGAGUUCCCACCACUGCGAGCUUCAAGCUCCGCGAACAACCAGACACAACCAGCAAAACGCCAACCUCCGUAGCUCCGGCAAACAAGUACCCGGAGGUGCUUCCUAUUGAAGUUAUUCGAAUUAGGUUCGAAUUAUAUUCCUAUUUAUAUUGUAUAUUAUUGACGAUAGACAAAUUUAGGUCGAUUCCUAUAUUAUUGUUUUAUCAUAUUACUUGUGUAUAUUGCAUGUUUAUUAUAUUUGUA
Molecule: long non-coding RNA, 921 nt
Organism: Solanum tuberosum (potato)
Lineage: Eukaryota; Viridiplantae; Streptophyta; Magnoliopsida; Solanales; Solanaceae
Exons: 2
Source: RefSeq, a predicted model, not a curated record